GCUGGGAUGGCGAAAUGGUAGACGCGCCUGCCUUAGGAGCAGGUUCCUUCGGGAGUGGAGGUUCAAGUCCUCUUCCCAGCA
This 81-nucleotide transfer RNA is filed under the name Patescibacteria group bacterium. Its description in RNAcentral is "tRNA-Leu". It matches the Rfam family "tRNA". From Rfam's summary of the family: Transfer RNA (tRNA) molecules are approximately 80 nucleotides in length. Their secondary structure includes four short double-helical elements and three loops (D, anti-codon, and T loops). Further hydrogen bonds mediate the characteristic L-shaped molecular structure. tRNAs have two regions of fundamental functional importance: the anti-codon, which is responsible for specific mRNA codon recognition, and the 3' end, to which the tRNAs corresponding amino acid is attached (by aminoacyl-tRNA synthetases). tRNAs cope with the degeneracy of the genetic code in two manners: having more than one tRNA (with a specific anti-codon) for a particular amino acid; and 'wobble' base-pairing, i.e. permitting non-standard base-pairing at the 3rd anti-codon position. The record is from RNAcentral.